This 254-nucleotide ribosomal RNA is filed under the name uncultured bacterium. Its description in RNAcentral is "partial 16S ribosomal RNA". It matches the Rfam family "Bacterial small subunit ribosomal RNA", at positions 524 to 776 of the family's 1533-position model. The record is from RNAcentral.
UACGUAGGGCGCAAGCGUUUGUCCGGAAUUAUUGGGCGUAAAGAGCUCGUAGGCGGUUUGUCGCGUCUGCUGUGAAAACUCGGGGCUUAACCCCGGGCCUGCAGUGGGUACGGGCAGACUAGAGUGCGGUAGGGGAGACUGGAAUUCCUGGUGUAGCGGUGAAAUGCGCAGAUAUCAGGAGGAACACCGAUGGCGAAGGCAGGUCUCUGGGCCACUACUGACGCUGAGAAGCGAAAGCAUGGGGAGCGAACAGG